UGUGAACCAUACCAAACUGUUGCCUCGGCGGGGUCACGCCCCGGGUGCGUCGCAGCCCCGGAACCAGGCGCCCGCCGGAGGGACCAACCAAACUCUUUCUGUAGUCCCCUCGCGGACGUUAUUUCUUACAGCUCUGAGCAAAAAUUCAAAAUGAAUCAAAACUUUCAACAACGGAUCUCUUGGUUCUGGCAUCGAUGAAGAACGCAGCGAAAUGCGAUAAGUAAUGUGAAUUGCAGAAUUCAGUGAAUCAUCGAAUCUUUGAACGCACAUUGCGCCCGCCAGUAUUCUGGCGGGCAUGCCUGUCCGAGCGUCAUUUCAACCCUCGAACCCCUCCGGGGGGUCGGCGUUGGGGAUCGGGAACCCCUAAGACGGGAUCCCGGCCCCGAAAUACAGUGGCGGUCUCGCCGCAGCCUCUCAUGCGCAGUAGUUUGCACAACUCGCACCGGGAGCGCGGCGCGUCCACGUCCGUAAAACACCCAACUUCUGAAAUGUUGACCUCGGAUCAGGUAGGAAUACCCGCUGAACUUAAGCAUAUCAAU
This 539-nucleotide ribosomal RNA is filed under the name Trichoderma viride. RNAcentral's name for it is "eukaryotic LSU rRNA". The stretch from base 160 to 313 matches the Rfam family "5.8S ribosomal RNA". Lineage: Eukaryota; Fungi; Ascomycota; Sordariomycetes; Hypocreales; Hypocreaceae. The record is from RNAcentral.